RNAcentral lists this ribosomal RNA (454 nucleotides) under uncultured bacterium. Its description in RNAcentral is "bacterial SSU rRNA". It matches the Rfam family "Bacterial small subunit ribosomal RNA", at positions 30 to 524 of the family's 1533-position model. The record is from RNAcentral.
AUUGAACGCUGGCGGUAUGGCUAAACAUGCAAGUCGAACGGACCCGCAAGGGUUAGUGGCGGAAGGGUGAGGAAUAGUAUCGAACGUACCCUGAGGUGGGAGAUAGGCAUGGGAAACUGUGCGUAAUACCCCAUGAUCUCGGAAGAGCAAAGGCGCAAGUCGCCUUGGGAGCGGCGAUAUUCCUAUCAGGUAGUUGGCGGGGUAAUGGCCCACCAAGCCGAAGACGGGUAGCAGGUGUGAGAGCACGGCCUGCCACAUCGAGACUGAGACACUGCUCGGACUCCUACGGGAGGCUGCAGUAACGAAUAUUCCGCAAUGCACGAAAGUGUGACGGAGCAAUGCCGCGUGCAGGAUGAAGCAGCUUCGCUGUGUAAACUGCUGUCAGGAGUUACUAACAACUGAAGAACUACCAGAGGAAAGGACCGGCUAAUCUCGUGCCAGCAGCCGCGGUAAU